This 259-nucleotide ribosomal RNA is filed under the name uncultured bacterium. RNAcentral's name for it is "partial 16S ribosomal RNA". It matches the Rfam family "Bacterial small subunit ribosomal RNA", at positions 793 to 1055 of the family's 1533-position model. The record is from RNAcentral.
GUCCACGCCGUAACGUUGGGCACUAGGUGUGGGGCGCUAUCGACGCGUUCCGUGCCGUAGCUAACGCAUUAAGUGCCCCGCCUGGGGAGUACGGCCGCAAGGCUAAACUCAAAGGAAUUGACGGGGCCCGCACAAGCGGCGGAGCAUGUGGCUUAAUUCGAUGCAACGCGAAGAACCUUACCUGGGUUGAACUAUGCAGGAAAACCAAUAGAGAUAUGGUGUCCUUCGGGGCCUGUGAUAGGUGGUGCAUGGCUGUCGU